This 874-nucleotide ribosomal RNA is filed under the name uncultured bacterium. RNAcentral's name for it is "bacterial SSU rRNA". It matches the Rfam family "Bacterial small subunit ribosomal RNA", at positions 37 to 921 of the family's 1533-position model. The record is from RNAcentral.
GGGCGGCGUGCUUAACACAUGCAAGUCGAACGAUGAACCAGGGCUUGCCCUGGGAAUUAGUGGCGAACGGGUGAGUAACACGUGGGCAACGGCCCCAGACACCGGGAUAACCAUCCGAAAGGAUGGCUAAUACNGGAUACGACCACUUUGGGCAUCCAACGGUGGUGGAAAGGAUUCUGGUCUGGGAUGGGCCCGCGGCCUAUCAGCUUGUUGGUGGGGUAAUGGCAUACCAAGGCGACGACGGGUAGCCGGCCUGAGAGGGCGACCGGCCACACUGGGACUGAGACACGGCCCAGACUCUUACGGGAGGCAGCAGUGGGGAAUAUUGCGCAAUGGGCGAAAGCCUGACGCAGCGACGCCGCGUGAGGGACGAAGGUCUUCGGAUUGUAAACCUCUUUCAGCAGGGACGAAGCGAAAGUGACUGUACCUGCAGAAGAAGCACCGGCUAACUACGUGCCAGCAGCCGCGGUAAUACGUAGGGUGCAAGCGUUGUCCGGAUUUAUUGGGCGUAAAGAGCUCGUAGGCGGUUUGUCGCGUCGGAUGUGAAAACCCAAUGGCUUAACCUUGGGCCUGCAUUCGAUACGGGCAAACUAGAGUGUGGUAGGGGAGACUGGAACUCCUGGUGUAGCGGUGGAAUGCGCAGAUAUCAGGAAGAACACCGAUGGCGAAGGCAGGUCUCUGGGCCAUAACUGACGCUGAGGAGCGAAAGCGUGGGGAGCGAACAGGAUUAGAUACCCUGGUAGUCCACGCCGUAAACGGUGGGCGCUAGGUGUGGGGAUUGUUUCCACGAUCUCCGUGCCGUAGCUAACGCAUUAAGCGCCCCGCCUGGGGAGUACGGCCGCAAGGCUAAAACUCAAAGGAAUUGACGGAAGGG